Symphalangus syndactylus (siamang) is the source of this 166-nucleotide long non-coding RNA. RefSeq lists it as uncharacterized. Lineage: Eukaryota; Metazoa; Chordata; Mammalia; Primates; Hylobatidae. The record is from RefSeq and is a predicted model, not a curated record.
GGCUCACCGCAAAUUCCACCUCCCAGGUUCAAGAGAAUCGCCUGAACCCGGGAGGCAGAGGUUGCAGUGAGCCGAGAUCAUGCCAUUGCACUCCAGCCUGGGUGACAAGAGAGAAACUCCAUCUCAAAACAAAACAAAACAAAACAAAACAAAAAAACACAUAGCA